RNAcentral lists this unclassified non-coding RNA (378 nucleotides) under plant metagenome. Its description in RNAcentral is "partial contains 5.8S ribosomal RNA, internal transcribed spacer 2, and large subunit ribosomal RNA". The stretch from base 1 to 105 matches the Rfam family "5.8S ribosomal RNA", at positions 50 to 154 of the family's 154-position model. The record is from RNAcentral.
GAAAUGCGAUAAGUAAUGUGAAUUGCAGAAUUCAGUGAAUCAUCGAAUCUUUGAACGCAUCUUGCGCUCCUUGGUAUUCCUUGGAGCAUGCCUGUUUGAGUAUCAUGAAAUCUUCAAAGUAAAUCUUUUGUUAACUCAAUUGGUUUCUACUUUGGUAUUGGAGGUCUUUGCAGCUUCACACCUGCUCCUCUUUGUUCAUUAGCUGGAUCUCAGUGUUAUGCUUGGUUCGACUCGGCGUGAUAAGUUAUCUAUCGCUGAGGACACUGUAAAAGGUGGCCAAGGUAAAUGCAGAUGAACCGCUUCUAAUAGUCCAUUGACUUGGACAAUACUUUUAUGAUCUGAUCUCAAAUCAGGUAGGACUACCCGCUGAACUUAAGC